GGAAGGAUCAUUAUUGAAUGAACUUGGUGUGGUUGUCGCUGGCCCUCUUGGGGGCAUGUGCACACCUACCAUCCUCAUCUCUCCACCUGUGCACCUCUUGUAGAUUUGGAAUUGAUUAUCCGAGGCAACUCGGUCGUGAGGACUGCUAGCACUUAGCUGGCUUUCUUUGCAAUUCCAGGUCUAUGUUUUUCAUAUACCCCAUUGUAUGUAACAGAAUGUAUCAUUGGGCCCUUGUGCCUAUAAACCUUAUACAACUUUCAGCAACGGAUCUCUUGGCUCUCGCAUCGAUGAAGAACGCAGCGAAAUGCGAUAAGUAAUGUGAAUUGCAGAAUUCAGUGAAUCAUCGAAUCUUUGAACGCGCCUUGCGCUCCUUGGUAUUCCGAGGAGCAUGCCUGUUUGAGUGUCAUUAAAUUCUCAACCAAUAUCAACUUUUGCUGAUAAUGGCUUGGAUGUGGGGGUCUAUUUUGCUGGCUUCUCAGAUAGUCAGCUCCCCUUAAAUGCAUUAGCCGGUGCCCCGCGUGGACUGUCUAUUGGUGUGAUAAUUAUCUACGCUAUAGACAUCUGCAAUCAUAUGGGUUUGCACUGCUUCUAACAGUCUGUUGAUUCAGACAAAACAUGACAAUUUGACCUCAAAUCAGGUAGGACUACCCGCUGAACUUAAGCAUAUCAAUAAGCGGAGGA
Molecule: ribosomal RNA, 681 nt
Filed under: uncultured fungus
Lineage: Eukaryota; Fungi
Description: eukaryotic LSU rRNA
Rfam family: 5.8S ribosomal RNA (bases 253-406)
Source: RNAcentral